This 465-nucleotide ribosomal RNA is filed under the name uncultured bacterium. RNAcentral describes it as "bacterial SSU rRNA". It matches the Rfam family "Bacterial small subunit ribosomal RNA", at positions 338 to 795 of the family's 1533-position model. The record is from RNAcentral.
CCUACGGGGGGCUGCAGUGGGGAAUAUUGGACAAUGGGCGAAAGCCUGAUCCAGCGACGCCGCGUGUCGGAAGGAGUCCUUCGGGAUGUAAACGACUUUUGGUGGAGACGAAUAAGCAGCUCAGGGAAUGGGGCUGUGAUGACGGUAUCCAUGGAAUAAGCCCCGGCUAACUACGUGCCAGCAGCCGCGGUAAGACGUAGGGGGCAAGCGUUACCCGGAAUUACUGGGCGUAAAGGGAGCGUAGGCGGGAGGUCAAGUCCGGUGUGAAAGACCCUGGCUCAACCAGGGAUGAGGGCUGGAAACUGACAAUCUUGAGUACAGCAGAGGAAGAGGGAAUUACCGGUGUAGGGGUGAAAUCCGUAGAGACCGGUAAGAAGGCCAGUGGCGAAGGCGCUUUUCUGGGCUGUUACUGACGCUGAGGCUCGAAAGCCAGGGGAGCAAACCGGCUUAGAUACCCCAGUAGUC